CUUUGCCCUAACAUACUGCCCCCUCCACCAGGAAGCCUCACUGCCUGAAAAUCCACAUUCAUUGAAGAGCCUUGCUAACAUAACAAGGCUGCCAGAAUAGGAGAAAAAUUCAUGUCCUUCCUGCCUCUUAGGCUCUAGUAAAUGGAAGUUGAAGAGGUGCUAUUCAUCUGUCAUUGAAGGAUGUUGUUUUUAACACCCAAACGGAGCAUAGGACAAGCUUCAACUGGAUGCACAGUUAAAAAUGAGACUGAAGACCAAAGUAAAUAUUUGCAUAGCAGGAUCUUGGAGUGGCGGAGAAGAGAGAAGGAAGAGAGGAGUUCUGAUGGGCCUGGCUUCAGGCCUCAGCUCUGCUUCUGAGUGGCUGCACUUGCUUGGAGCAAGUCUCCUUUAGUCUGACUCUUCUGCGAUUAGUGAGAAUCUGGCAGAGUGCAGGGGAGUAAAACCAAGCUAGACUUGAAAUGGAAUGAACAAUAUGAAGAAUCUAUCCUGAGUGCAUCUGCAUUAACUUAACUAGAAAACCUCAAAGAGUCCUGUGGCCCAAGUCUGCUGCAGCGGUCAAAGAACAGUGCAGCAAAGAAGAUCCCUAGGAGGGAAUGAAAUUAAUGUUGAUGACCACGGACUAUUUUCCAGGCCAGGAUUAUCUCAGGAUUUCAUGAAGAGGAGAAAUGGAGGUCAUUUCCUAGAGAUUAAUGGAUAAUUUGAUUGUGAGAAGAAAAUUGUUUAAGGAGCAGGGGUGGGUAUGGAGGCAAAUGUCACACACUCCAGAAGGUAAAGUGACCUGGCUCUUCCCCUCUCACUCCUUGGAAAGAAGGAAAGCUCAUCAGAGCCAGGACCCUGGAAAAGUGAUGUGAUGAAGAGAAGGAGGCCCUGAAUACCACCAUCUGAAGGCAUUUCCAAGGAAGCCAGGGAUGUGACUCUGUCUCGGUUGCAGAGAUCAAAAGGUUUUGUGAAGGAAGCAAUGGCUCUCUAGCCCCCUUCUGGGUGGAUUCUGGGGUAGAAGGAUCCGGUUCCUUUGAUAACUGGUUAGUUAUAGCUAUAGGGUGAAGCCAAUUGAGUAACAUUGGUCUGGGCUUCCAGAGACACAAGGUCUUCUUGAACCAUAAGCUCUCAGAACAAUGCCCCACCUAGGCAGAGCAGAGAACCCUGAACCUUUUGCCUGGAGAGAACAAAGAAGCGCACAGCUCAGGAGCCACCAGACCUGGGACUACCCAUUGGACCCCUAAUCUCCACUGUUCUUGGCCUGUCUCUCUUUCCCAUUAGAUUGUGAGCUCUUUGAGAACAGAGACUACCUCUUCUCCAUCCUUGUUUCCCUAGCCUAGUACACCAUCAAAUAAUGCUGUGGAAAGAAAAAGUAAAGGAAUAAAUAAAUAACCCUUAGAUAAGUGGGUCAUCCACCAAUCCUCAAUUCCUGAUUAGUAAAAUGAGAAUAACAAUAGCUACUAACAAGAGUAUUGUGUAGACUGUAUGACUUAAUGAAUGUGAAAGCACCCGUAUGGAG
Molecule: long non-coding RNA, 1498 nt
Filed under: Homo sapiens (human)
Lineage: Eukaryota; Metazoa; Chordata; Mammalia; Primates; Hominidae
Description: HSALNT0006581
Source: RNAcentral